UUCCCGAGAAGCGGAGGCAGAUUCGCAAAUCGAUCCGCGGGGGAAGCCUUCGAAGAAGAACAGAAAGAUUUGCGAGAAGAAACGCGAACUGCAGAUUUCAGUGAAUCAACGAAUCUUUGAACGCACCUUGCCCUCCCUGGUAUUCCUAGGAGCAUGCCUGUUUGAGUGUCAUGAAUUCCUCAAACCCCAAUGUUUUGCAAAAUUCAUUGCUUGGGUUUGGUUGUGGGCCUAUAUUGCUGCUUCACGGCAGCUGGCCUUAAAGAUAUUAGCUGGACUCUCCGAGACUCUUGGAUAGAUCCACUUGAUGUGAUAAAUUUGCAUCGGUGGGUCAAGACUAUGCUUGGGAAGUGUGAGAAGUCUGCUUCUAAUCCGGCAAGAGGUUCCAUCCUCGACCCAAUUCAUUUACAACUCUGGCCUCAAAUCAGGUAGGACUACCCGCU
RNAcentral lists this ribosomal RNA (440 nucleotides) under Quambalaria sp. RNAcentral's name for it is "eukaryotic LSU rRNA". The stretch from base 29 to 171 matches the Rfam family "5.8S ribosomal RNA". The record is from RNAcentral. Lineage: Eukaryota; Fungi; Basidiomycota; Exobasidiomycetes; Microstromatales; Quambalariaceae.